This 224-nucleotide long non-coding RNA is filed under the name Apteryx haastii (Great spotted kiwi). RNAcentral's name for it is "lncRNA (ENSAHAG00000013333.1)". The record is from RNAcentral. Lineage: Eukaryota; Metazoa; Chordata; Aves; Apterygiformes; Apterygidae.
GAAUUUCUUUUUUGCCUCCAUUCCAAAGGAAGGGGGGGGAGCAGCCACUCAGCCAUCAAUUGCAAGCAUCACCCUUCUGUGGCAAGAGGCACCUGAAAGGAAGACUUCCGCAUAUCAAUGCACUGCCAAUGGUGGUGUAAUACCAAAGGCUGUACUGCUGCCACAUCACAAUUUUGUGGGGUUUCAGAGAGUAGUUCUGGGUUGUGUCCUUUGUUGUGACCUCA